AGGCUCCGCUCUGGCUAGCUUCC
RNAcentral lists this microRNA (23 nucleotides) under Mus musculus (house mouse). RNAcentral's name for it is "mmu-miR-7671-5p". Lineage: Eukaryota; Metazoa; Chordata; Mammalia; Rodentia; Muridae. The record is from miRBase by way of RNAcentral.